CGACGGUACGCUGGGGGGGGGGCACUGGGGUGGGAGGGGGGCGACGGUACACACUAUACAAGGUGUUGGCCAUGGCUCUGGUCUGUAUAUUAUUAUAUAUUAUUGUAUAUUAUUAUAUAUUAGUGUAUAUUGUUCUAUAUUUCAUCCCGUCCUGAUGGAAGGUGUUGGCCAUGGCUCUGGUCUGUAUAUUAUUAUAUAUUAUUGUAUAUUAUUAUAUAUUAGUGUAUAUUGUUCUAUAUUUCAUCCCGUCCUGAUGGAAGGUGUUGGCCAUGGCUCUGGUCUGUAUAUUAUUAUAUAUUAUUGUAUAUUAUUAUAUAUUAGUGUAUAUUGUUCUAUAUUUCAUCCCGUCCUGAUGGAAGGUGUUGGCCAUGGCUCUGGUCUGUAUAUUAUUAUAUAUUAUUGUAUAUUAUUAUAUAUUAUUGUAUAUUGUUCUAUAUUUCAUCCCGUCCUGAUGGAAGGUGUUGGCCAUGGCUCUGGUCUGUAUAUUAUUAUAUAUUAUUGUAUAUUAUUAUAUAUUAGUGUAUAUUGUUCUAUAUUUCAUCCCGUCCUGAUGGAAGGUGUUGGCCAUGGCUCUGGUCUGUAUAUUAUUAGAUAUUAUUAUAUAUUAUUGUAUAUUGUUCUAUAUUUCAUCCCGUCCUGAUGGAAGGUGUUGGCCAUGGCUCUGGUCUGUAUAUUAUUAUAUAUUAUUGUAUAUUAUUAUAUAUUAUUGCAUAUUGUUCUAUAUUUCAUCCCGUCCUGAUGGAAGGUGUUGGCCAUGGCUCUGUUCUUUUCAUAACCAGAGCACAUGGACCCUACAGCUCCAGGUUAGCGUCCUGGGCCGCCCUCUCUCCCCUAGAGAGGCCGGCCUGACUGAGAAUGAGUGCAGCUCAUCACGAUAGAGGAUGUUGAGAUGCCGUUCAUCCUCCACACCUCACCUCCACCGCUACAUGUCCUUCAGAGACCUUGUCCAGCAGCUUAGCACUUCAUAGCUCAGUGUCCCGGAGCAGAGCUUCAGCCAGGCCCACUAUGGGCAGGUUGGAUGUUUUCGGUUCCCUUUCUUUCUCCUUUCUUUGUGUGCCAGCUGUUCUUCCAGCCGUACCUUGGCAUGGAGCACAGCUGCAGCCCCGGCCAGGAUCACUUGUAACUUUGGCAGGGGUAGGAGAGGGGGGGGGGGGGGGGGAGAGAGAGGGAGGGGGGAGAGAGAGAGGGUUAGGGUGAGAGAGAGAAAGUUAGGGUGAGAGAGAGAGAGAAGAGAGAGAGGGAGAGAGGGAGGGAGGGAGGGAGGGAGGGAGGGAGGGAGAGAUGCUGUUUUUCACUCCGUGGGCCCAGACCACCCAAGAGGCCUUGUUUACAUGCCUAGGUGUGUGUGUGUGUGUGUUGGCAUUUGUCUCUUUGCCAGCAUGUGAAAGAUUGGAGGGGGGGGGGGGGUAUUACUGGCACAGGAAGUUGGAUGUGUGUUUGAAUGAUUGAGCCAUAGUCUUCUUUAUGUGGUUCCGGUUGGCCAGGGGAUGCAUUAUCAAUGGUAGAUGCUUUGCAGAGCAGGAAACACACACACACACACACACACACACACACACACACACACACACACACACACACACACACACACACACACACACACACACAC
Molecule: long non-coding RNA, 1606 nt
Organism: Gadus morhua (Atlantic cod)
Lineage: Eukaryota; Metazoa; Chordata; Actinopteri; Gadiformes; Gadidae
Exons: 2
Source: RefSeq, a predicted model, not a curated record